Brachypodium distachyon (stiff brome) is the source of this 959-nucleotide long non-coding RNA. RefSeq lists it as uncharacterized. The transcript is spliced from 3 exons. NCBI's taxonomy places the organism in Eukaryota, Viridiplantae, Streptophyta, Magnoliopsida, Poales, Poaceae. The record is from RefSeq and is a predicted model, not a curated record.
CGUUUGCAUGUUGCUUCGCUCGCCGCAAUUCGCACCGCCGCCGCAUCGCCGCAACCGCAAGAGAAAAUCCGCCUCCUCGCCGUCGUCCCUGCAAAAAUGUCAUCCAUGGCCACCUGUACCCGAGCUCCGCUCCCCGGCUGCCGCCGCCCACUCCCGCACCCACGCCGGCGGCAGUCACCAACCCAGGGGAAGAUAAGGGGCCGUGGUUGCCGGCGGCGGAGACGGAGCCGCAGGAGAAGGAGAAGCUGCUCGCCCCACUCGUGCCCGACACCGCCGCUGCGAACCUCGCCCGGCCAGGGAGAAGAGGUACGCGAAGGUGCCGAUGACUGAAGAGGAGGACAAGCUACUGGAGGUGAGGGCACGGCAUCGGUCCAUGAGCAAAGAGGUAUCCGCGCGGGUCGAGAGACGGAAGGAGCUGUUGAAGCGCCGGUACGAGCUUCUGUUCCAGCGGAGGUGCCUCGCCGUCCGGUUGUCCAACCGGAUCGUGGCCCUCCGUACCGACGCCGACCACAUCAGGCACCAGCGUCUCGUCGGUUGGAAGUACGGGAACGGGAUGCCUAUGCCAGAGGAGAUCUUGAACUGUCGGAACCGCAUCGGCUGUGCUCUGGAGUUGUGCGCUGCCAUGGGCAAUGCUUUGGAUGCCGGUCUUGAUGCCUUUCUCGUCGAUUACCAGCAGCAGAAGAGUAUGUGUCCCGAGGUGCAUACCGAUCUUAUGUAGAUCAUGGCCUCGUUUUCUGUUAUGAAUAUGCCCUCUUUCUUUGUGGAUUAUGGCCUCUGUCCGUUUAUGAAUAUGCCCUCUUUCUGUUUGUUGGAAGAAAAUAUUUGAAUCAUGUGGUGAUUUGGUUUGUGUCUUGUGCGCGGAUAUGUUUAAUGUAGCGGAUGAAGUGAGAAUGAGUGUACUUAUGAUACCUGCAUUUUAGCCUCUUUAAGAGUGAAAAUGAUUUUAUUUAUGAUGUCUA